UACGGAGGGUGCAAGCGUUAUCCGGAAUCACUGGGUUUAAAGGGUGCGUAGGCGGUCUUGUAAGUCAGUCGUGAAAUCGCUGGGCUCAACCCAUGCAAUUGCGAUUGAUACUGCGAGACUUGAAUGGGGUUUAGGCAGGCGGAAUGUGGCAUGUAGCGGUGAAAUGCAUAGAUAUGCCAUAGAACACCGAUUGCGAAGGCAGCCUGCUGGGCCUUUAUUGACGCUGAGGCACGAAAGCGUGGGGAGCAAACAGG
RNAcentral lists this ribosomal RNA (254 nucleotides) under uncultured bacterium. Its description in RNAcentral is "partial 16S ribosomal RNA". It matches the Rfam family "Bacterial small subunit ribosomal RNA", at positions 524 to 776 of the family's 1533-position model. The record is from RNAcentral.